CACCAACGCAAUGACUGGGAUCUAUAGGGUCAAGGUAUAGGGUCACCCUAUAUCCCAUAUACCCUAUAUCCCACCCUAUAGACCCUAUAGACCCCUAUAGACCCUAUAGACCCCUAUAGACAGGCCACAUUGCAACCUGGCUCCAACAGGCGUCGUUACCCACGAACGCAAUGACUGGAAUCUAUAGGGUCAAGGUAUUCGGUCACCCUAUAUCCCAUAUACCCUAUAACCCACCCUAUAGACCCUAUAGACCCCUAUAGACCCUAUAGACCCCUAUAGACCCUAUAGACCCCUAUAGACAGGCCACAUUGCAACCUGGCUCCAACAGGCGUCGUUACCCACCAACACAAUGAUAGGAAUCUAUAGGAUCAAGGUAUAGGGUCACCCUAUAUCCCAUAUACCCUAUAUCCCACCCUAUAGACCCUAUAGACUCCUAUAGACCCUAUAGAUCCCUAUAGACCCUUAUAGACAGGCCACAUUGCAAUCUGGCUCCAACAGGCGUCGUUACCCACCAACGCAAUGACUGGGAUCUAUAGGGUCAAGGUAUAGGGUCACCCUAUAUCCCAUAUACCCUAUAUCCCAUACACCCUAUAUCCCAUACACCCUAUAUCCCAUAUACCCUAUAUCCCACCCUAUAGACCCCAUAGACCCCUAUAGGUCCCACCUUGUGCCGCACGAAGGUGUCGAACUCAAUGAGGCUGUAACCCAACGAACCGUCCCCAUAAAGGAUCCAGACCUGCCAUAGGGGGACAGCAAUGACGUGCCCUAUAUCCACCCUAUAUCCACAAACCCUAUAUCCACCCUAUAUCCCACCCUAUAUUCCCCCUAUAUCCCCCCUGUAUCCCCCCCAAUAUCCCCAUGCCCUAUAUCACACCCUAUAUCCCCAAACCCUAUAUAUCCCCUCUAUCCCCAAACCCUAUAUCCCCCUCUAUAUCCCACCCUAUAUCCCCCCUAUAUCCCCAAACCCUAUAUAUCCCCUAUAUCCCCAAACCCUAUAUCCCCAAACCCUAUAUCCCCCCCAUAUCCCACCCUAUAUCCCACCCUAUAUCCCCAAACCCUAUAUUUCCCCUAUAUACCCCCUAUAUCCCCCCCUAUAUCCCCCUCUAUAUCCCCAAACCCUAUAAGCCCAAACCCUAUAUCCCCAAACCCUAUAUCCCCCUAUAUACCCCNCUGAAAGACCCCAAUAAGGGGCACAAAGACCCCAAUAUGGGGCUGAAAGACCCCAAUAAGGGGCACAAAGACCCCAAUAAGGGGCACAAAGACCCCAAUAUGGGGCACAAAGACCCCAAUAUGGGCACAAAGACCCCAAUAAGGGGCAGAAAGACCCCAAUAUGGGGCUGA
RNAcentral lists this long non-coding RNA (1341 nucleotides) under Coturnix japonica (Japanese quail). RNAcentral's name for it is "lncRNA (ENSCJPG00005005916.1)". Lineage: Eukaryota; Metazoa; Chordata; Aves; Galliformes; Phasianidae. The record is from RNAcentral.